AGGUUCCAAAUUUAAAACUUAAUUAUUUUAUAUUUUCAAUUAAAUUGAAAUGAAAAUUGGAAAUGGCAAUUAGAACAUCUAGAAUUUUGAGAAAAGGUUUUGUUAAAGGAGAAGAGAGUGACCAAGGGUGAGGAGUGGGAGGUGUUUGUGAGAGAGAAUUAAUUCAAAGCUGGAUUGAGCCGUUGAUUUAUUGGAUCAUUUCCAUUUCAGAGCGAGUAAAAUGGAAAUCAGAAU
Molecule: long non-coding RNA, 234 nt
Filed under: Ananas comosus (pineapple)
Lineage: Eukaryota; Viridiplantae; Streptophyta; Magnoliopsida; Poales; Bromeliaceae
Description: long non-coding RNA (ACOM_LNC025527)
Source: RNAcentral